AGAGUUUGAUCCUGGCUCAGAAUGAACGCUGGCGGCGUGCUUAAUACAUGCAAGUCGAACGAGAAAGUUCUUCGGAACGAGUAUAGUGGCGAACGGUUGCGUAACGCGUAAGAAUUUGCCCUUCAGUGAAGAAUACCCUCGAGAAAUCGAGGUUAAUACUGCAUACGUCCCUACGGGGAGAAAGGUGGCCUCUUGCUACCGCUGAAGGAUAAGCUUGCGUACUAUUAGCUUGUUGGUGAGGUAAUGGCUCACCAAGGCUAUGAUGGUUAGCCGGCCUGAGAGGGUGGUCGGCCAGAUUGGGACUGAGAUACGGCCCAGACUCCUACGGGAGGCAGCAGUAGGGAAUCUUGCACAAUGGGCGAAAGCCUGAUGCAGCGACGCCGCGUGGAGGAUGACGGUUUUCGGAUUGUAAACUCCUGUUAAGAGGGAAGAAAGAUGUGUGGUUAAUAUCCAUGCAAGAUGACGGUACCUCUAGAGAAAGCUCCGGCUAACUUCGUGCCAGCAGCCGCGGUAAUACGAAGGGAGCAAGCGUUAUUCGGAAUUACUGGGCGUAAAGUGCGCGUAGGCGGCCUAUUAAGUCAGUUGUUAAAUACCAUGGCUUACCCAUGGAACAGCAAUUGAUACUGGUGGGCUGAGAGGGCAAGAGAGAGAAGUGGAAUUCUCGGAGUAGCGGUAAAAUGCGUAGAUCUCGAGAGGAGCACCGAUGGCGAAGGCAGCUUCUUGGCUUGUGCCUGACGCUGAGGCGCGAAAGCGUGGGGAGCAAACAGGAUUAGAUACCCUGGUAGUCCACGCCGUAAACGAUGAUCACUAGAUGUUGGUUCCGCAUAGCGGGAUCAGUGUCAUAGCUAACGCGUUAAGUGAUCCGCCUGGGGAGUACGGUCGCAAGAUUAAAACUCAAAGGAAUUGACGGGGGUCCGCACAAGCGGUGGAACAUGUGGUUUAAUUCGACACUACGCGAGGAACCUUACCUAGACUUGACAUGUUUGUGACAGCUGUAGAAAUACAGUUUUCCUAGUUUACUAGGACACUUACACAGGUGCUGCAUGGCUGUCGUCAGCUCGUGUCGUGAGAUGUUGGGUUAAGUCCUUUAACGAGACGUCAAGUCCUCAUGGCCCUUAUGUCUAGGGCUACACACGUGUUACAAUGGCGAGUACAGUGGGGAGCAAUGCUGCGAAGCGGAGCAAAUCCUUUAAAGCUCGUCUAAGUUCGGAUUGAAGUCUGAAAUUCGACUUCAUGAAGUUGAAAUCGCUAGUAAUCGCGUAUCAGAACGACGCGGUGAAUACGUUCUCGGACCUUGUACUGC
This 1303-nucleotide ribosomal RNA is filed under the name metagenome. Its description in RNAcentral is "bacterial SSU rRNA". It matches the Rfam family "Bacterial small subunit ribosomal RNA". The record is from RNAcentral.